Molecule: RNA transcript, 11626 nt
Organism: Vitis riparia (riverbank grape)
Lineage: Eukaryota; Viridiplantae; Streptophyta; Magnoliopsida; Vitales; Vitaceae
Gene name: probable LRR receptor-like serine/threonine-protein kinase At1g53420
Exons: 8
Source: RefSeq, a predicted model, not a curated record
UCAGGGUGGUGUAUAGGUAUCUUUUAGGUGUCACUUAAGGUCUGUGGGGUUUUGGAGUUCCUUUUUCUUUGUGAAUUUUGAUAGUUUGUAUGGCAGGGUGGUAUUAGACAUGUUUUGGGUGUCAUUUGGGUUCCUCUGAAGUUUUGGAGUUCCUUCAUUUCUUAUGAAUUUUGAUUGUCUGAACCAAACAAGAUUUGUUUUCUACUUUAUUUUUUAUUUUUUUUUUGUUUGGUUGGGGUAUGGGCAACCGUUAGGUGUCAGUGGGGGUAUGUGGAGUUCUGGGUUUCCUUUGUUUCUUAUGAAUUUUGGUAGUUGGAAUUGAAGAAGACUAGGUUUUAGGAGUUAGAUAAAGGCAAUUCCACAAUUUCCUUAGGAAGGAAUGCUCUAAUGCCUUCAUUAUCUAGGAAAACUUCUCAGUCGAAGGCGACUUGGCCAUAUCUCAGAAACAGCAAGGUCCUUGGACAUGGGACAUUGAGCUGUGCAAAAUUUUCAAUCUUUCCUCUGGGUUGGGUUUUUCUAUUAUGUUGAUCCCUCACUUGGCCAACAGAACUGUGGAUAGGCUUGCUAAGUGAGUUGCUCGAUUGUUAGAGAUGUUUGUAAGGGAAUUUCCACCUCCCUGAACUUUGUAUUUUGGUUGAGAGUUGGCUUUUAGUUAUUUUUAGUGUUUCUAGGUUUCCUCCUUCUGGUGUUUCAGUUCUGUUCUGUUAAUUUAGUAUAUUUGAUUCCUCUGAUUUUCUUUCUUGAAGGAUGAACAAUCCUUCAUGGUCUUUUUGUUCAUGAACCAAUGAGUUUUAUUGUUUCUGAUAGCUAAAUUUUGUCCCCAUUGGGACUUGAACCUGGAACCUCCCACAAACCCUCCCCAUCCCUUUACCAUUUGAGCCAGGCCUUAAGAGCAAAACCAAUUUGGAACAAGCUGAUAUCAGGAAUAUUAAGGACCUUUAUUAGAAAUAAAGAAUGGGCUAUGUUACCUUAUUGUGGGACUCUACAUUACCUGCUUUCAUUAAAUAUUGACAUGAUGAAAGGAUCAUGUAGAAUUCACUUUGCAACCACCAUAUCCAAAAUAGCUAUACCACCCCAUAUGGAUUCUGCCUGGCUUCAAUUAUUGGGAGGAAGCUUGAUAUAUUGUACAUUGGCUCAACUAAAUUCAGCCAGGAUGACCAUCUUGAACUGAUCAACCUAGACCUUGGAUCAAUUUGAAAUUAGAUUUUUCUGUAACCCUUUGAAUUUAUCUCCAAAGACACCAAAGGUUUAUUAAUCUCAAACCAAGGGUGUAACACUGUCUUAAUUAUUUACUUACCUCAAAAUAUAUUUUAAUUUUAUAUAUCUUGAAGUUUAACUUAAGUGUUUGUUUGCUAAUCCUUAGAUCAAGAAUGAUUCUCCCUAACCAACAUUUCAGACACCCAGUAGUUAUUUCUUAUAACAAGAUUUUGAGGUUGAUAAACUUCUUCUAAUGUCCAAGCACGUGUGAAAUGCCCAAAAAAUUAGACUUCCAGUAAAUCCAAAGAUCUCCCAGAAAGAGAUCAAUCAUAAAACCUCUCUACCAAGAAAUUAGCAUCCUACAUCAAUCAGAUUAUAUUAAAGGAUACAAGGUGAGGAAAUCUAAAACAAUCUUACCUCUAGAUCUAUGAUUUACUAAGGAGAAGAGAAUGCAAAAACUCCUCUACCUCCAGCCCCAUCCCUAGGCAUCUUCUUUUCUUGUCCUUCCUUCUCGCCUGAGCUUUGGACCAUUUUGAAGGAUAAGAGGCUUAAUAAAAAUUAAUAUCAUCCCUUCUUAUUUUCUUGGAAAAAGACUUAGAUGUCUUCCUUAUUAAAUUAUAAAAAUCUUGAGCCUAAAAUAGUCCAAAAGUUACUUGCCUUACCCCUAACAAUGCCCAAACUAAGUUAAGAGCCCCUUCUAAGCCCAUUGCAAAAUAAUUCAAAGUCCAAUUUAUUUAAGCCAAAACUCAAAAAUAUCUAAAACAAAUUAAUCUAAAUGACUUGCUUUGGUAAUAAUUAAAUAAAACCAAAUAAUAAAAAGACAAGAAUAUAAUUUGAUAAGAGAAACAGAAUAUCCAAAGAAAAAUCUGAUCAGAGUAACAAGUUAUGGCAACUGUUCUCUUUACUGGGCAUUUUGGUUGGUUGCUCCUAGAGGCAUUGAACUGACUGGUUAUCAAUUUUUACUUUAGGAGGAGGGGAGGACUAUUCGGAGGGAGAGCUGUGUGUUUGGGGUGAUGGGUAGGUAUAUACUGGGCACUAUGUAGGUUAUCUAGCUCAAGGGGAAUUCCAAGAGUUUUAAGAGAGGAGUCAUUUGUUAUCUCGAGUCUCUUUGAUUAUCUGUUACUGGUGUCCAUCAGUAUUAUAUGUUCUAGCCACAGGAGGGUGGUAAGAUAUGUAUAUGGGUUCCUCUUUCAAAAGGAAGGCUCAAGCUCAACUUUAUUUGUUUUCCUUGGAUAAAUCUGUGCAGAUGAGUAUCAGUGGCCUUUGACUGGAUCUAGAGGUGGGAUCAUCUAGUCUUUUUUUUUUUUGAUAGACAAAGAGAACCAUUAGAUUAAAAAAACGCCAGAAAAUAGGGGGCGCUCCCUAAGUACACAGGCGGUAUACAAAGAAGGCCCAAAACAAGGCAACAAGAGAAAAAUAAAGUCUAAUAAGGAUUAGCUAAACAACAACCCUAUCACCCAACAAAUUCCGAAAAGAGAGAUAGUCCAAGUCCAAGUCCACAAAUUGUUGAGACCAUUCAAGCAGGGACCGAAGAAAAAGUUUCCUCAAGCUCGUAUUUGUCAUCUCUUCCUCUCAGAAGGUUCUUCGAUUUCGCUCUCCCCAAAUACACCAAAACAGACAAAUAGGUGCCAUUUUCCAAACUACACUCCUUUUCUUCCCCAUGCCUUUCAUUUUCCACUCAAGAAGCAAAUUUCUCACGGAAUUCGGGAGCACCCACACCACCCCAAACGAAGAAAACAACAAGUUCCAAAGAUCCCUUGUCUUACCACAAUGAAUUAGGAUGUGGUUCGCCGUUUCCUCAUUUUCUUUGCACAGGUUGCAUCUAUUAGCCAUAGACCAACCCCUCCUCAUUAGCAUAUCUAUAGUGGAAAUUUUACCCCAAACUGCUUCCCAAGCAAAAAAAACGAGUUCUUAAAGGGGCAUACAAACCCCACACCUCCUUUUCUGGAAAUAAAGGGCUAUUGUCUUCCUUCAAAGACCUAUAAUAAAGGGAUCAUCUAGUCUUUCUCAAAGCCAGCUAGGUAAGGUCUAGAUUAGGGCUGAGAUUGUAUCUUUAUUAAAGCCCUAGAAGAGGCAAAAUUGAGGAACAUAUUUGCUUUUUAUUUUGCUUAUAUAGCCUUGACAAGAGUCAAGGGCCACUUAGAUGCUCAAGAAUGUUUGAAGUUGCCCGGGAGCUGCAUGGAUAAUUGUUGGUGGAGGGGGAUUUAAUGACAGUGUUAUUCUCAGAGUACCAUGGUAAGUGAGAUGGGGGCCAUGGAGAUAUAACAUUGGGUGAGAGGGAUUUUGGAUUUGUCUAGUGAUUGUUUGUUCUCCCAUCUUAGAGAUAUACUUUGGCAAAUCAAGAAGCCGAUGUGCUGGCCAAGAGAGGAGGGUCCACUUCUAUUGCUUUUGUUGGCAAUUUAUUUUCCCCUUAAGAUUUUCUGGAUUCUCAUUUUCAAUUCAGGGGUGUAAAUCGGUUUUACUUUGUAAUCUGUGGGCGUGGACCAGGGGGUUUUUUGUUUCUGGUCCCACUUCCGUUGUAGAUUUUGUUAAUUGGCUAGGCCAUGGGUAAAGGUUUUUUCUUUUUUUUCUUUGUAUACCUCCUGUAUACGUUGGGGUGCUUCCUUGAAGUGCCUCUUUUUAUUAAUAUAUUUCUCUUUAUUCAUCAAAAAAAAAAAAAAAUCAACAAGCCAGUAUGUUGGUCAAGAGAGGAGUGUCCACUUCUAUUUCUCUUGUUGACAAUUUCUUACCCCCUUAAGAUUUCUGGAAUCUCAUUCUUCUGUCUGUACUUUUGUACAUUUUCCUACUUUUAAGGACAUCUCGUCGUUGCUUGUAACGGACUUCCAUCAGGGCUUUGCGAUUUUGAAACUCAUAUUAUGAACUUCCAUAUUUGGGAAAUUGUAAGUAAAGAACCAUUGCUAAGUUAUUCUAAGAGUGUUAUACCUUAAUAAAGUAGGUUACAUUAGUUUUGCAGUUUGGUUCAAAUGGGUAGGCUUAUGGUGAAGCCUAAAGUCUUUAAUGCAUAGACCUUUUUUUAUUAUUCUUUUUUAUUUUUAUUUUAUUAAACUUUGUGAAAAAACAAGGGAAAUAAAUAGGCUCUUGCUCUAACUGAUUAGCAAGGACUUCUCCUAAAAACUAGGGAUAUAGAUAACUCUAGAGAAUAAUCCAAAAAAAAAUAAAAAAUAAAAGAGUCCUAAUCCAAGCCGACCUUUAUUUUGAAUGCCUAACAGAUAAAGUACUAACUAAUAGAUAAGAUAAAAACUCAUAAUUUCUAACUAACAGAUAAGAUAAAAAAAAACUCUUAAUUAUCUACACUCCCCCUCAAGUUGGGCAAAAAAUAUUCAGCAUGCCCAGCUUGCCAACCAUAUUCUCGAAGUUGCUUUUAGACAUACCUCAACUUGCUCUUUUGUAGGCAUGUAAGAAAUGUCUAAGACUCUACUCUCGAUCUUAAUCGGAUUUCAUGAAAUUUCUAAAGCUGCAUUGUUGUCACUAAAAAACUGCAUUGGCUGGUGAACUCCUAUUUUCAGCUCUUCCAACAUUCGUUUAAUCCACAAACCUUCAUAGAUUCUGUGAGCAAUUGCACGAAACUCGGCUUCAAGACUACUUCUAGCCACCACACUUUGCUUUUUACUUCUCCACGUUACUAAAUUUCCCUAAACAUAGGAACAAUACCCAAUAGAUGAACAUCGACUGCUGUCUCUCAUGCCAUUGCAGAAUUGGGGGUUCGCAAAAACUUUUACAAAUUUGUGCAAGAGCCGGCAGAUCAUCCACUCUUCUCUGAAGCAAAGAAGGUUAACAUUUCAAAGUAGCGUCAAAUGCCUAGGUUUGUAGAAAAAAAUGAAUUAGAAGAUGAUUGCCUAGCAGAAGCAGCCCUUAGCGUGAUUCUAGCGUAUGCUCAGUUCCUACACACUACUCUACUCUCUAGGCUUAACCUGUCUUUUCCUUCCCCUCCACUCCCCCUCCAUAAAGAAUCUGUUAGUCUUGGUUUCGAAGUGAAUGAAAGGUUUUUAUUAGCAGCACGAGUCCACGAAUGAGGCUAUGACAUAGUCAGUUUCAUUAUGAAAAGGGUGAUAACGCUCUGUCACAACGGUGCGUGCUGUGCCAAAUCCCCUAGUUUUCCUGCCAAGAGUUUUCAUAUUCAUAAGCAGGUACCAUACCAGCAGAAGACAUCUUAGUAAGCUGAAUCGGCUGUCUUUGAAGUGCUUUAAGGAGGUGAAGUUGUUAUUGGGAGUUGGAUGUGGGACUUCGAGGAGUUUGGGGGAACUCCCCCAAGCAAAUGUAGCUGAACCAACCCGAAGAUGAAUGGAGGGUUCCAAACCUCCUCAUCAAACAGGGCUUGAUAUGCUAUCCAUUGGGGUGGUCCUCCGUGACUCACUCAAGUGAAGAGAGAGAAGAUAGGGUAGGUUGCUCUGAAGGUAGGAUAACAAAAGAGAGGCUACUUAUGGAUUUACAUUAACAUGAACGGGACCCUAGCGAGGCCCUCUCUCUAAAAGGACGUAAGCCCCUUUAUUUAGAGAGAGGGGCGAGCCAAAGAGCUCGGCUUUACUGAAGAAGAAGGGGCGGAGUCUCAACUACCACACAACCCUAGUUGUUGUCCAUACCACAACCUCAGGUACUUCUCUCUUAUUCCUCUUUCUUCUCUUCUUGAUUAUUUUCUUUUCCUCUCUCAUUUAUCGACUUCUUUAUUCCUUAGAGCCGCAUCGCUUUAGUUUUAGAAUGUGUCUGCCUCAUCAUCCUCACAACCGUCCCUCUUCUCUAUAGCGAAUGUCUCUCAUCUUGUCUCGAUCAAGCUUGAUCGAGGGAACUACCUCCUUUGGCGUAGUCAGUUUCUACCGAUUCUUCACAGUCAAUCAUAGGUUUCUUCCUCUCGGAUAAAACCCUGAUUUACAAUCAGCCUGCUGCCUCUCUACGCCCACUAAGAUCUGCGAUCAGCCUGCAGUUGAUCGUAGAGCACCCUGAUUUACAAUCAGCCUGAUCGUAGAGCACUUCUGAUCUUCAAUCAGCCUGAUCUACGACCACCCUCCUGCGGAUUAAAGAAAGGAGGAAAAAAGAGAUGUUAAUUAAUCAAAGGUCCAACUGAUCACCGCCUUUGUCUUGUAAAUAUGCAGUUACGAAGAAUCCAGCCAAAGUAAUAGGAAUUAGACCUAACACGAUUCCAAAUAGAAAAACUUCAAUCAUUUCGAUUUGUUUGAAAGGGGAAAAACGAGAGGGCGUUAAGCACCUAAAUAAACAUCCGAAUCGCCCAUGAAUCUCAAUGACCAAGAAUUGGCAAUUGACGCGGGAAGGCAGUAUUCCAUACCUGGAAUCUCACAGAAACAUUUAUUUUUAUGAAUUGUUCAUUCAAUGAAUUUCGAAUAAGUCGUAUCUUGCUCAGACCAAUAAAAAGAGCUGGGGUUAUAGUUGAAGCCGCCAGUAGAAAACCGAAAUAACUAGUUAUAGUAAGCAUGAAGAAGCUAAAUGAGAUACGUUAUUUAUAUAUAUAUAAAUAAUAAUAAAGUUUUUUAAAAACUUACCUAAGUUUCCAUUUUUGCAAGAUACGAGGAUAAGAAAAAAUACCAAUUGACAGUUUUUGAUUCAUCAGUCAUUAUCCUUAUAGAAGGCACUCACAAAGAUAGAGUUACAGAGGUAGAAAAAAAAAAAAUGGAUUCAUCAUCUGUUACAUCUACCCAUCCCGUGAUUCCGAAUCAACAGACCCAAUUUCCGAGAUAUGGCAACUCUUUUAUAAAGUAAUAGUAAUAAGAACUGUGUCGUGUAACUUCAUUCACAAAUGAAACUCCGGAAAAGCAAAAUGGAAAAUAAUUUUUUUUUUCAAAUUUAUUUUCUUUUUCAAUUGUAUCAAAUCCAUUUUCUAUUUUGGAACGAACAACGACCAACUAAGACUUUGACUUGACUUUAACUCAUUAGAUUCAGUAGUAGGUUCAUUAAUUGCACAUAAUAUCUCGAAUGAGAAGAAAUUAUCGCACGAUCGCUCGAAGAAAUCAAACCUUUAUUUCGGUCUAACUCGAUUCUAAGACUACUAAUUCCUAUGUUCUUUUCCUUUUAGGUUCUCUUUUAUUUCAAUAUUAGGGAGUCCCACCCUUGUAGCUAGGUCAAGAAAAAACCUUUGGAUCUAAUACAGCAAUGCUUGCAUCACGAAUAUUGAUUGUUCCAAUUAUUUUAUUGUUUGUUCUGUUUCUUUCAUCGAAGACUAUCUACUAGAAUACUUGUUAUUGUACGACCAACCAAUUCCUUAAAAUGAAAGGAUUCGAACAAAAAGAAAAAAACCUUUUCUACAACCAUGAAAAGGGGCUUUCUAGAUUUCGCAUCUAAUUGAAUUGUGGGAAUAUGAGAAUCUCUUUGAUAUUAUUAGCUCUAUAAUCCACCCAUCUUCCCCAGUCCCUGAAAGCCCAUCCUCUUAAGAUCUACGAGCAACCUGAUUUACAAUCAGCCUGCUUAAGAUCUACGAGCAACCUAGCCCUCUUUCUCAACUCGAGUCUUAAGUUCAGCGGCUUUCAUCGUUGACGAACACCUGCGCUAAUAAGACAAAACAAAGAAGUGGGGAGUCUAUGCCUUGAAUGAAUCAGUAACAACGGAUUAGUGGAAUGAGGGAUCAAGAGACGGAUAGGGGGGGGGGAAUGGCCUAUCAAUCAUUGGUGACCUUCCCUUGAACCGGUCACGGAGCUCUCAACUGAGUUGUUUAGGUUCUGGAAUUCCAUCUCUAGUUGGGGGUUUCGGUUCGAAGGUUCUAAAAUGUGGUGCGGGUUCAUCUCUCUCGACCAGUUCAGGUUCAAGGGAAGGGUGAUCGAGGGGACCCAGACUUUAGAUCUCUUCUCUAUGGCGGGAGGUUGAUUUCGUAUCAAGAGUGUGUUGGGGAGGCCAGGGAAGACGGAUUGGAUCGAGAGGCGAUGCCUAUGCUCUUUAUCGAGAGGAUUCCCAUCAUUUGCAGUCUCCGGUGAAGGAGACAAGGGCGAGGCACCGAACAUGUUCUAUCCUCAACCUCCAUCCGUCAUUAGUAAUCUCAAUCCGCUUUUCCUAUUCACUAGUACACUGCGCGCUACAACUAGCAGCCCCUUGUAUAGUAAGGGAAAACGCUAGCGCGCUAGCUAGCUACAACUAGUUAGAACCCCUACUUUAUGGGAUAUUUGAAGAAGCCUGCUGAAAAACAGAAGCGCGCUAGCGCGCAACGGCUGAAAAGCCAGCAACUUGUUAGGAGUAGGUUUUGGCUUGCCCCUUUCAACUUAUUAGUAAGAUAGGUGCUUAACGCCCUAUACAAGACAAGGGGCUGCUUGCUGCUCGCCCUUAUAGGGGCUUAUGCACUCCACUCGCUACCUACUCCAAACUCAUUUGCCAAAACUCUCUUCAACUUCUCCAGUCCGUCUAUGUCAUCCCCUGUAAGUAUAAUAUCAUCUACAUACACGAUUAGCAUAACUAUUUUUCCAUCAACCGAAUGUUUGUAGAACAUAGUGUGAUCAGCAUAUCCUUGACUAUAUCCGUAUCUUCUUAGCACUUGGGAGAACCGUCCGAACCAAGCCCUUGGGGACUGCUUUAGACCAUAAAGAGAUUUGUUUUACUUACACACCUUUUUGUUACCUUGGUCAUCAAAGAAUCCGGGUGGAAGUUCCAUAUACACUUCCUCAAUAAGCUCUCCGUUCAAGAAGGCAUUCUUGAUGUCAAGUUGAUAAAGUGGCCAAUCAAAGUUGACUGCCAAAGAAAGAGGGAUCCUUAUUGAAUUUAGUUUUGCUACUGGAGCAAACGUUUCAGAAUAAUCAAUUCCGAAAGUUUGGGUGAAUCCUUUCGCUACAAGCCUGGCCUUGUAUCUUUCAACCUUCCCAUCCGGGUUAUAUUUCACCGUAAAUACCCAUUUGCAGCCCACUGGAUGUUUACCACCUGGUAAAUCAACAAUUUUCCAUGUAUUAUUUUUCUGCAAGGAUUUCAUUUCCUCCAUAUCAGCUUCCCUCCAUUUUGUGUUUUUCAAGGCUUCAUGUAUAUUCCUUGGCAUUGUUUCUUUAUAGGAAAUAUGGGUAACAAAUGCUUGCAAUGAGGUUGACAGCCUGUGGUAUGAGACAAAGUUUGAGAUUGGGUGUUGGGUACACAAUCUUACUCCCUUUUGAAGCGCUAUUGGCUUGUUUAAGUUGUCACCUGUUUCCUCGCAAGUUUCACCUUGAACAUCAAGUGGACUGUUGCUGUCAGAUUCUGGUUCUAUCUCCAGUUCAGACUUUUGGCAAGUUUCACCUUGAACAUCAAGUGGAUUGUUGCUGUCAGAUUUUGGUUCAAUCUCCAGUUCAGACUUUUGUUCAACUCAUGAUGUGUUGAGCUCUAUUUGUUGAGAAGGCUGUUGUCGAGAAUAGACACAGAGCUGUUGUUUUGGUGGUUCCAUUCCUUUUUUUUUUUCAGCUGCUUCAGUAGGAUAAGGAAUGGGACCCGCUGUCGCCUGGGACAUACACAGCACACAGUGCAAGACUUCUUCCAUUGUCUAGAGUAUAUUCCUGCAUUUCAUUCAGAUGGAUUGAACAAUUCAUGUCAACAAGGCAUAUAAAUGUUGUUGUCGUUUCCUUUUGCUUCUUUUUGGAUAGACUACUGGCAUGUAGCCAUUUUCUUAGGUAUGUACAAGUUUUCGAUCCCUUAAGACCAGCUUUUAUGUAUGCAAAACUGUUUAUCUCGGACAUAGUGAUGAAUUUAUAGUUCCUUUAAUAUGCAUCCUUGUAUUGCUUUGACAUAGUAUAUCUUGUCACAAGUUAAUUUUCUUUCAUAGGAUAGUAUCUACAUCUCAGUCUUCAGACUAGGGAAGAGACGCUGUCUUGCGUGGAUGGCGCUUGCAAGGGUGGGUCGUCACAUUUUCUGUACAUAUUAACCAUAUUUUGUGGUUUUAAUCUGUUUUUCUUCUUAUUGAAACUUGUAUGAGUAUCAUUUAAUAUCUUUGAUGCAGUGUUUUUCUAUGUUGAAGAGCAAGAUGCAUUUGAUGUGUAUUCCAUAAUCAAUGGCUUCUCUAGUCUUACCCUUUCUUGUAAAAUGUAAAGUAGAUGUUGUAUAGUCUUAGGUCCAAUCUCAGUGUUCUUCCAAAUCCGAAUUCUCUUUUUUGAGUUUCUGACAAUCAUGUUGAUGAUGUACUAAUUCUUGAUCAGGUGGCCUUGCAUCGAAAUGCUUUUAAAAUCUAUACUUUUUUUUUCCCAACAACAACCCCAAGGAAACAUAAUGGUAUGCUGCUGCUGAUAAUGUUAUUGCUGCUAUUUAUGCUACUCAUCCAACUCCUAUGGAGAAAUAUGGAAGUUGUGGUUGAAAAGGUUUGCAAUAGGUUUUAAUGCAUGACUUCAUUAUAAGAUAUAAUGUCAUGGCACCUACGCUUGGACUAGUCUCUUAUUUACCCAUAUUGGAGACAUACUUCAUUAAUAACCUAGCAAGAAAGUGAAAGAAAUUGGAGGUAGGAAGACGAGGCUUUUGUGUCUCAUCUAUGGUGGCGUCUCCCCGAAGUGGAAUCUAGGGCCGGCGGAAAGAAGGGGAAGUGAAAGGCGGAGGACUUUUGAGUUUUAUUGGUCAAGAGGCUAGGGCACGGUGUGAUUUGGUUUGAUCUCGGUGUGGAAGCUCGGGGAAUCAGCUUAGUGCGUAGUGGUUUUGUGGUUGUGGGAUUUUGGAAACCUUAGAUUUGGGUUAGGGUUGUGUGGUUGGUUGAUUAAGCUAGGGGCGGGGCUGCCCAUGCAAUUGACUGGGUUUUCAUGCCGUCAAAACCACUUCCUUGGGAUCGGAAGGACUUCUUCAAGGAGAGGAGAGGAAGCAUGAGAGGUCGGAGUCUUUAAGUUUGCUGCAAGAUAGAGGACUCGCAUUAGGGUUCUUGGGAGUUUGCUCGCAGGAAUCGGCAGACUUGCGCCGUCCUACAGGUAAGUUGAAUCCCACCGGGUUCUUGAUGAUGUCGGUUUUGCUUUAAACCAAGAAAAAUAGUCGGGUUCUUGGAAAAUUUGGUCUCCGAGCCCUUUUGCUUUGUAUGAUUUGUUCCUUUUUGGUUUUUAAUUUUGAAUUUAUUCUGUCCACGGAAGAAGCACGAGAGGUCAGAGUCUUUAGGUUUGCUGCAAGAUAAAGAAACUCGCAUCAGGUUCUUGGGAGUUUGCUCGCCGGGAUCGGUAGACUUUCGCCCCCCUACAGGGACACUUUUCUUUGCCAUGAGCAAUGUUGGUGAGAUUUAUAUACACUGGAUCUGUAGAAAUUAUAUUGGAUAUUGCACAAGAUCUCCUCAUAGCUACUGAUCAGUAUCUCUUGCAGGGAUAAAGCGUCCCUGUGAGUGUACCAUUGCCCAUGAUAUAUCACUGGAAAAUGUUUCAAGAAUGCAUGAGCUUUCAUAAGCCUUCCAUGCUAUUUCCUUAAGACACACAUGCCUCAUGUCUAUCUUGGAGCAGUUUAGUAAACUGAGUUCUAGGGCCGGUUGAAAGGCACGAUGAGUACAGAAGAAACUCAAAUUUUAUAAAGGAAUUCAUUUUCCUUG